Molecule: ribosomal RNA, 253 nt
Filed under: uncultured bacterium
Lineage: Bacteria
Description: partial 16S ribosomal RNA
Rfam family: Bacterial small subunit ribosomal RNA
Source: RNAcentral
UACGAAGGGUGCAAGCGUUACUCGGAAUUACUGGGCGUAAAGCGUGCGUAGGUGGUUUGUUAAGUCUGAUGUGAAAGCCCUGGGCUCAACCUGGGAAUUGCAUUGGAUACUGGCAGGCUAGAGUGCGGUAGAGGAUGGCGGAAUUCCCGGUGUAGCAGUGAAAUGCGUAGAGAUCGGGAGGAACAUCUGUGGCGAAGGCGGUUCUCUGGGCAUGUCCUGACGCUGAGGAGCGAAAGCGUGGGGAGCGAACAGG